Long non-coding RNA from Pistacia vera, 1445 nucleotides. RefSeq lists it as uncharacterized. The record is from RefSeq and is a predicted model, not a curated record. NCBI's taxonomy places the organism in Eukaryota, Viridiplantae, Streptophyta, Magnoliopsida, Sapindales, Anacardiaceae. The transcript is spliced from 2 exons.
CAAAAUCGAAUUGGGUAUUUAGAAUUGGAUAAAAAAACCCUAGAAGCUAAAGCCUCUCUACGACCCUGCCGAUCUGCCCCUGUCGUCGACGUCGCCUGUGCCUCUUGCUGAUGUCGCCGUCCCGUUCGCUAUUGACAAUCUCAGUCGUCGCAGGAUCUUGAAAUGAAAAACACGGCCUCCCUUUGUUUGACCCGAUAGCCCCUUUUACCUUCUCUUUCUAUACUUAAUUAAUCGCCCUUUUCUUCCUUUAACUUAUCUUCUUCACUUGUUUUUCUUUAAAACUUCUUUAUGUUUGGCUUUUAAUACUUAAAAUUAUGUUAUGCUCUUGAUGAUGAUGAUGGCGGUGGUCAUCUGGCAAGAUCGAUGCUUGCUCGUUGUUUUGAAUACCCUUUGUGCGUUCUUUGAUGCCGUUCAGCUGUGCUUCUUCUAAUCUCAGGUUUGAUGUUGUAAGGACAGCUGCUCGAGCCAACUCAGCCAAGGGAGGUAGUUGAGAGAUUCUUAAACAUUAGGGAUUUGUUAGGAGAUCCUUAAACCUCAGGGGAGGUACCGAUAAUAAAUACUCCCCACUAUAAUGGGUUAUGACUUAUGACCAAACCGCGUUUCUCCCCCCUUUAUUCUUCGCGCAACUUCCAGGAAAUUUCCACAUGGAACUUUCAUUGAAACCUCUGAACUAAAUGCUAAAGUGAAGUCUUCUGAAUGAGAAAAAGAGCAUUAACAAUACUUCAAUGGAAACUUUCCAGUAACCCUCCAUGAAAUUUCUUAGCUUCCGUCGAAAGCACUAACACGUCACCACCCAAGAACCUGCCAAGAUCUUACAAAUAUUUCUAAUCUCUCCCACCUGGCUCUAUAUAUAUAUAGACAUAAUCCCAACAUUGUUUUCACUGCUCUACUACCUCUAUUAUAUCAACUGAUUUCAAGAAUGAGACUUGGUAGAUUCAGCUUCGCGUUUGUAUCAGAGUCCGAUUUAGAGGCAUGCACUAGCACUACACAGAAAGAGUACCUACGAAUCUACAUCGAUGAAUUGGUAUUUACUUUAUCUUGUAUAAUCACAGUACUAAUCCUGCAACUCCCUAUGACUAAUAUCAAUGGUAAGCCCGUACCCACUUUUAUUUUUGCUACUCAACCCUCUUCUUUCCAUGCCUUUCUUAUAUUCAUUAUGGCGGCUUGUUAUACUUCCAUUUGCUCAAUUUAUCUCCGAGAACGAAAGCCAAAAGUAGCAAGGUUGUACAAUGGUCUUGCUGUGGUUACAUUUGCGGCAAGUCUUCUAGUUCUGUUGGCGGCAGCUGUUUGUGCCGGGUUGAAGUCGUAUCUUUCGCUUAACUCUGCUAUGAGCGCUGCAUAGAUUUCACAGAAUCGCUUAAUUUUGUUAUUUCUUAUUGUCUUCUACUUAAGUGUGUUGUAUCUCUGUACUAAGAAAUCAAUAUGGUGUCUUUCAGUUAGCCAAA